GGUGUAGCUCAGUUUGUGUAGAGCGCCUGAUUUGGGUUCAGGAGGUCGCAGGUUCAAUUCCUGCUAC
Molecule: transfer RNA, 67 nt
Filed under: bovine gut metagenome
Rfam family: tRNA
About the family: Transfer RNA (tRNA) molecules are approximately 80 nucleotides in length. Their secondary structure includes four short double-helical elements and three loops (D, anti-codon, and T loops). Further hydrogen bonds mediate the characteristic L-shaped molecular structure. tRNAs have two regions of fundamental functional importance: the anti-codon, which is responsible for specific mRNA codon recognition, and the 3' end, to which the tRNAs corresponding amino acid is attached (by aminoacyl-tRNA synthetases). tRNAs cope with the degeneracy of the genetic code in two manners: having more than one tRNA (with a specific anti-codon) for a particular amino acid; and 'wobble' base-pairing, i.e. permitting non-standard base-pairing at the 3rd anti-codon position.
Source: RNAcentral